This 26-nucleotide non-coding RNA is filed under the name Rattus norvegicus (Norway rat). Lineage: Eukaryota; Metazoa; Chordata; Mammalia; Rodentia; Muridae. The record is from RNAcentral.
UGUAAAGAAAAUGUUCUUGUGGCCAC